UGGGGAAUUUUGGACAAUGGGCGAAAGCCUGAUCCAGCAAUGCCGCGUGUGUGAAGAAGGCCUUCGGGUUGUAAAGCACUUUUGUCCGGAAAGAAAUCCUUGGCUCUAAUACAGUCGGGGGAUGACGGUACCGGAAGAAUAAGCACCGGCUAACUGCGUGCCAGCAGCCGCGGUAAUACGUAGGGUGCAAGCGUUAAUCGGAAUUACUGGGCGUAAAGCGUGCGCAGGCGGUUUGCUAAGACCGAUGUGAAAUCCCCGGGCUCAACCUGGGAACUGCAUUGGUGACUGGCAGGCUAGAGUAUGGCAGAGGGGGGUAGAAUUCCACGUGUAGCAGUGAAAUGCGUAGAGAUGUGGAGGAAUACCGAUGGCGAAGGCAGCCCCCUGGGCCAAUACUGACGCUCAUGCACGAAAGCGUGGGGAGCAAACAGGAUUAGAUACCCUGGUAGUCCACGCCCUAAACGAUGUCAACUAGUUGUUGGGGAUUCAUUUCCUUAGUAACGUAGCUAACGCGUGAAGUUGACCGCCUGGGGAGUACGGUCGCAAGAUUAAAACUC
Molecule: ribosomal RNA, 554 nt
Filed under: uncultured bacterium
Lineage: Bacteria
Description: partial 16S ribosomal RNA
Rfam family: Bacterial small subunit ribosomal RNA
Source: RNAcentral